Long non-coding RNA from Carassius carassius (crucian carp), 700 nucleotides. RefSeq lists it as uncharacterized. Lineage: Eukaryota; Metazoa; Chordata; Actinopteri; Cypriniformes; Cyprinidae. The record is from RefSeq and is a predicted model, not a curated record. The transcript is spliced from 4 exons.
AGUGGGAUCACUUACCAUCGAUAUCCAUCUUUUGUUGCAUUACUUUUUUGAAGAUUCAUCCUCUUUUUGCAUACUGGACACUUCUUUUUUCUAAGCAGAAGUCUGUGUUUCUGAAGCCAUUUAAUGAGUGACUUCUGUUUUCCAUAAAUGCUCCGUAAUAAAUGUCUGACUAAACUCAUUUUAUUAAUUCCAUUAGCUAAACGAGUUAAUCUUUGUGUAAUAUUGUAUUACUAUCAGCCUCUAAAAAUAAAAAGUCCGCCAAAACUAACAAUCUGAAUACUGAUUGGCCGUUUUAUGAACACGUUUUUGCACAUGUAGCCAAUCAGCUUUUAAACAGGAAGCCCGCCCUUCCGGUAUUUGAAAUUGUCAGCGAUAAGCAAUCGCAUCAAUCAAUAAUUUCCUGUUGGUCGCAUUAAGUAUGCAGAACACAAAGCGCACAAAGCGGGGGAGAAACCAAGGUGGCGUUGUUGAUAAAGUAGGUGAUACAGUCUCAGUGCCACCUCCUGUCUCUGGUUCACCACAAGUUGCACCGACGGCAGUUGCAACAAUUGAAAAACUCAAAGAAGAAAAUAGACUCCUGAAAGAGGAACGGGAUUUUCUGCGGGAGCAAUUGAGAGGUUCCCUCAAUAAAAGACAACUAGGGACAAACAGAAGAAUGCAAAAUGAUUCAUCUUCUGAGUCAGAAUCUGCAGACAACUCA